RNAcentral lists this ribosomal RNA (301 nucleotides) under uncultured bacterium. RNAcentral describes it as "partial 16S ribosomal RNA". It matches the Rfam family "Bacterial small subunit ribosomal RNA", at positions 509 to 807 of the family's 1533-position model. The record is from RNAcentral.
UCGCCGCCACGGGAAUACAGAGGGUGCGAGCGUUAAUCGGAUUUACUGGGCGUAAAGCGUGCGUAGGCGGCUUUUUAAGUCGGAUGUGAAAUCCCUGAGCUUAACUUAGGAAUUGCAUUCGAUACUGGGAAGCUAGAGUAUGGGAGAGGAUGGUAGAAUUCCAGGUGUAGCGGUGAAAUGCGUAGAGAUCUGGAGGAAUACCGAUGGCGAAGGCAGCCAUCUGGCCUAAUACUGACGCUGAGGUACGAAAGCAUGGGGAGCAAACAGGAUUAGAGACCCGCGUAGUCCCUGUCUCUUAUAC